AACUUUUAAACCUUUGACGAUUGACUCACGUUGCCUCGGCGGGUUCGCCCGCCAGAGGAUACAUCAAAACUCCUGUUUUAACGGUGUCGUCUGAGCUACAAGCAACGAAUUAAAACUUUCAACAACGGAUCUCUUGGUUCUGGCAUCGAUGAAGAACGCAGCGAAAUGCGAUAAGUAGUGUGAAUUGCAGAAUUCAGUGAAUCAUCGAAUCUUUGAACGCACAUUGCGCCCCUUGGUAUCCCGAGGGGCAUGCCUGUUCGAGCGUCAUUUCACCAUUCAAGCCUGGCUUGGUGUUGGGCGACGUCCCCUUUGGGGACGCGCUUCGAAACGCUCGGCGGCGUGGCACCGGCUUUAAGCGUAGCAGAAUCUUUCGCUUUGAAAGUCGGGGCCCCGUCUGCCGGAAGACCUACUCAAGGUUGACCUCGGAUCAGGUAGGGAUACCCGCUGAACUUAAGCAUAUCAAUAAGCGGAGGAAAAGAAACCAACAGGGAUUGCCUCAGUAACGGCGAGUGAAGCGGCAACAGCUCAAAUUUGAAAUCUGGCUCUUUUAGGGCCCGAGUUGUAAUUUGUAGAGGAUGCUUCGGCGUCGGCUCCGGUCUAAGUUCCUUGGAACAGGACGUCACAGA
Molecule: ribosomal RNA, 626 nt
Filed under: uncultured Xerocomus
Lineage: Eukaryota; Fungi; Basidiomycota; Agaricomycetes; Boletales; Boletaceae
Description: eukaryotic LSU rRNA
Rfam family: Eukaryotic large subunit ribosomal RNA (bases 418-626)
Source: RNAcentral